This 460-nucleotide ribosomal RNA is filed under the name uncultured bacterium. Its description in RNAcentral is "partial 16S ribosomal RNA". It matches the Rfam family "Bacterial small subunit ribosomal RNA", at positions 338 to 795 of the family's 1533-position model. The record is from RNAcentral.
CCUACGGGUGGCAGCAGUGAGGAAUAUUGGUCAAUGGCCGAGAGGCUGAACCAGCCAAGUCGCGUGAGGGAAGAAUGUCCUAUGGAUUGUAAACCUCUUUUGUCAGGGAGCAAAGUCACCCACGUGUGCGUGUUGGAGAGUACCUGAAGAAAAAGCAUCGGCUAACUCCGUGCCAGCAGCCGCGGUAAUACGUAGGGGGCGAGCGUUAUCCGGAUUCACUGGGUGUAAAGGGAGCGUAGACGGCCAUGCAAGCCAGGGGUGAAAGCCCGGGGCUCAACCCCGGGACUGCCGUUGAAACUGCAUGGCUGGAGUGCGGGAGGGGCAGGCGGAAUGCCUGGUGUAGCGGUGAAAUGCGUAGAUAUCAGGAGGAACACCGGCGGCGAAGGCGGCCUGCUGGACCGCGACUGACGUUGAGGCACGAAAGCGUGGGGAGCGAACAGGAUUAGAUACCCUAGUAGUC